This 250-nucleotide ribosomal RNA is filed under the name uncultured prokaryote. Its description in RNAcentral is "partial 16S ribosomal RNA". It matches the Rfam family "Bacterial small subunit ribosomal RNA", at positions 524 to 773 of the family's 1533-position model. The record is from RNAcentral.
UACGGGGGGUGCGAGCGUUAUCCGGAAUCAUUGGGCGUAAAGAGUUCGUAGGCGGUAUGUAAAGUCAGGUGUUAAAGGCGCAGGCUUAACUUAUGUAUGGCACUUGAUACUUGCAAACUAGAAUGCGGUAGAGGUAGAGGGAAUUCCCGGUGUAGCGGCGAAAUGCUUAGAUAUCGGGAGGAACAUCGGUGGCGUAAGCGCUUUACUGGGCCGUAAUUGACGCUGAGGAACGAAAGCCGGGGUAGCAAAU